GGAGACUUCGGUCUCUUAGUAAAGCGGCGCACGGGUGAGUAACGCGUGGGUAAUCAACCUUCGAGUGGGGAAUAACAGUGGGAAACUGCUGCUAAUUCCGCAUGAUGUUCACAGACUUCGGUUUGUGAACCAAAGCCGGGGACCUUCGGGCCUGGCGCUUGAAGACGAGCCCGCGUCCGAUUAGUUUGUUGGUGGGGUAAUGGCCUACCAAGACUUCGAUCGGUAGCCGGCCUGAGAGGGCGGACGGCCACACUGGAACUGAGACACGGUCCAGACUCCUACGGGAGGCAGCAGUGGGGAAUUUUUCGCAAUGGGGGAAACCCUGACGAAGCAACGCCGCGUGAAGGAUGAAGGCCUUCGGGUCGUAAACUUCUGUCAACUGGGAAGAAAGCGUCCAACCUAAUACGUUGUGGCGUUGACUGUACCGGUGGAGGAAGCUCCGGCUAACUCUGUGCCAGCAGCCGCGGUAAUACAGAGGGAGCAAGCGUUGUUCGGAAUUACUGGGCGUAAAGGGCGCGUAGGCGGUUCAGCAAGUCUUGUGUGAAAUCCCCCGGCUC
This 557-nucleotide ribosomal RNA is filed under the name uncultured bacterium. Its description in RNAcentral is "bacterial SSU rRNA". It matches the Rfam family "Bacterial small subunit ribosomal RNA", at positions 73 to 610 of the family's 1533-position model. The record is from RNAcentral.